GUAUUCGAGAUCGAUUUUUCAGAAUGAUCAUUGCUGAAGUGAGUUCAGAGAGAAAAAACUCACGAAUGCAGAAAACUACAGAAAGGUGAAGGAGAACGGUCUACGCGCCAACAGAUACUUGUUGUUAGAGUACAUAAUGUAGUUUCUCCGAAACGAGUGUAUUGUGACAAGUCGCAGCAAAGAGGUUUUAUCGCCGGUGAACGGUUGUCAUGACGAAGCAUGCUCGAGAGGGAAAAUAAACGGCGCAGAAAGACAAGCGUAGAAAUCUACGUGGACGAAUGCGCAGCAAAAAAGGAAUUUUUUCUACAGGGUUAUUCAGAUAACCUGAUCGAUUCCAACUCCAGUCAGGAUAAGGCCUCAACUUCGGGCUCUUCGUCUUCGAGUGUCUAGGCACGGUGGCCAAGGUGACCGGGAUACCUUCCUUCCACUUAGGAAGCGUAAUGAACACCUUCUCCCUCCAGACGUCAAGACCGAGAGAAAUCUAGAUAUUGCUCGAUAGUACCGUUCGUACUAAUCUUCGAAAACAUGGGAGCAUCUUACUAGUUCCAUGGCAGGGCCGACAUAAUCGUCCUCCACGUGAUCUCGGCCAGGAUCGUAAUUGAACCCGUGCGUCUCGAGUUGGUUCACCGUGUAAGGGUCCGCCUUGAAUAAGUUCAGGUUCCUUCCGAUCGGCCUUGACUGAAUCCCGCUUCUGUCGAAAUUCCGGGAGAAGUAGUUGCUCGAGUCCGGCGUUGAACCGUACAGAUGAUUAUUGUACUCCGGAGUGGUGGGUAACAAUCUGUCCACCGAGUUCUCUAAAGUCGACACGGUGUCCCCGUGGCCGGGGCAGUUUAUGUGGCCAGGAAGCUCGUCGUGGCCCGAGAUGAGCGUCUUGUAGUUCCUCAGGGACUGGACAACGGCGAGGAAGAAUAUUUCAUCGAAAUCGUUUCAAAUAUUUCAUCCACCGCGAAAUCCAAAUGUUCGUUCAUAUUUAUCAUAUUUAUGUUUUACUUGAUUUACACUAAGUGGUAGUUAAUCCUUGGCGCUCCGU
Molecule: non-coding RNA, 1030 nt
Organism: Megalopta genalis
Lineage: Eukaryota; Metazoa; Arthropoda; Insecta; Hymenoptera; Halictidae
Source: RefSeq, a predicted model, not a curated record